This 445-nucleotide ribosomal RNA is filed under the name uncultured bacterium. RNAcentral's name for it is "partial 16S ribosomal RNA". It matches the Rfam family "Bacterial small subunit ribosomal RNA", at positions 354 to 796 of the family's 1533-position model. The record is from RNAcentral.
GUGAGGAAUAUUGGUCAAUGGGCGGGAGCCUGAACCAGCCAAGUCGCGUGAAGGAAGAAGGAUCUAUGGUUCGUAAACUUCUUUUGCAGGGGAAUAAAGUGCAGGACGUGUCCUGUUUUGUAUGUACCCUGAGAAUAAGGAUCGGCUAACUACGUGCCAGCAGCCGCGGUAAUACGGAGGAUCCGAGCGUUAUCCGGAUUUAUUGGGUUUAAAGGGUGAGGAGGUGGUUUGAUAAGUCAGCGGUGAAAGUUUGCAGCUUAACUGUAAAAAUGCCGUUGAAACUGUCGGACUUGAGUGUAAAUGAGGUAGGCGGAAUGCGUGGUGUAGCGGUGAAAUGCAUAGAUAUCACGCAGAACUCCGAUUGCGAAGGCAGCUUACUAAGCUACAACUGACACUGAAGCACGAAAGCGUGGGGAUCAAACAGGAUUAGAAACCCCUGUAGUCC